UCCCUGGUGGUCCAUUGGUUAGGACUCUGCACUCUCACUGCGGAGGGUCCGGAUUCAAUCCCUGAUCAGGGAA
RNAcentral lists this transfer RNA (73 nucleotides) under Ovis aries (sheep). It matches the Rfam family "tRNA". From Rfam's summary of the family: Transfer RNA (tRNA) molecules are approximately 80 nucleotides in length. Their secondary structure includes four short double-helical elements and three loops (D, anti-codon, and T loops). Further hydrogen bonds mediate the characteristic L-shaped molecular structure. tRNAs have two regions of fundamental functional importance: the anti-codon, which is responsible for specific mRNA codon recognition, and the 3' end, to which the tRNAs corresponding amino acid is attached (by aminoacyl-tRNA synthetases). tRNAs cope with the degeneracy of the genetic code in two manners: having more than one tRNA (with a specific anti-codon) for a particular amino acid; and 'wobble' base-pairing, i.e. permitting non-standard base-pairing at the 3rd anti-codon position. Lineage: Eukaryota; Metazoa; Chordata; Mammalia; Artiodactyla; Bovidae. The record is from Rfam by way of RNAcentral.